Molecule: ribosomal RNA, 448 nt
Filed under: uncultured bacterium
Lineage: Bacteria
Description: bacterial SSU rRNA
Rfam family: Bacterial small subunit ribosomal RNA
Source: RNAcentral
CAGGGAAUCUUGCACAAUGGGCGAAAGCCUGAUGCAGCGACGCCGCGUGGGGGAUGAAGGCCUUAGGGUCGUAAACCCCUUUCAGCAGGGACGAAAAUGACGGUACCUGCAGAAGAAGCCCCGGCCAACUACGUGCCAGCAGCCGCGGUAAGACGUAGGGGGCGAGCGUUGUCCGGAUUUAUUGGGCGUAAAGAGCUCGUAGGCGGUUGCGUAAGUCGGAUGUGAAAACUCAGGGCUCAACCCUGAGACGCCAUCCGAUACUGCGCUGACUUGAAUCCAGUAGGGGAGUGUGGAAUUCCUGGUGUAGCGGUGAAAUGCGCAGAUAUCAGGAGGAACACCCAUGGCGAAGGCAGCACUCUGGGCUGGUAUUGACGCUGAGGAGCGAAAGCCAGGGGAGCAAACAGGAUUAGAUACCCCCGUAGUCCCUGAGCGGGCUGGCAAGGCGCAU